GGCUCUUUGAUAUACACCUAUAAAGAGUCCGGCCUGCCCAGUGAGAUUUCAACGGCCGCAGUAUCUUAACUGUGCUAAGGUAGCAUAAUAAUUUGUCCUAUAAUUGAGGACUGGAAUGAAUGGUCUCACAAGAGCAAAGCUGUCUCUUUUUGAUUAGAUAGAAUUUAACUUUCAGAUGAAGAGGUCUGAAUAUAAUUAAAAGACAAGAAGACCCUAUCGAGCUUUAAAAAAAUUAGUAAAAUCUAUUUUAUACUACGUAAAAAUAAAUUAUUAAACAUUUUGGUUGGGGCGACUAAGGAACAAAAAAAGCUUCUUUAAUUUACUAAAACUUACUAGUUUUGAUCCAUAAGUUAUGAUUAAUGAAAUUAGUUACCGUAGGGAUAACAGCAUUAUCUUUUUUGAGAGCUCUAAUCGAAAAAAAGGUUUGUGACCUCGAUGUUGGACCAGAAUAUCCUAAAGGUGCAGAAGUCUUUAAGGGUUGGUCUGUUCGACCAUUAAAAUUCU
RNAcentral lists this ribosomal RNA (504 nucleotides) under Crepidula fornicata. RNAcentral's name for it is "partial 16S ribosomal RNA". It matches the Rfam family "Bacterial large subunit ribosomal RNA", at positions 1817 to 2597 of the family's 2925-position model. Lineage: Eukaryota; Metazoa; Mollusca; Gastropoda; Littorinimorpha; Calyptraeidae. The record is from RNAcentral.